AAAUGGACAAAAAUACACAGAUUUGUACACAGAUUUGAGACGAAAUCCGUCAAGAUUUGGUUGUUGAAAAUUGUGAUACAUUUCCAGAAGUGAAAAUAUAUUAAAAUUGACGGGGUACAACAAUCAUUAACUAGAAACAUUUUUUUUUGUUAUACACAUUAAGGUUGUUUUGUUGCUCAUGCUAAAGCCAAUAUAAUUGAUAGGG
Molecule: long non-coding RNA, 205 nt
Filed under: Mytilus galloprovincialis (Mediterranean mussel)
Lineage: Eukaryota; Metazoa; Mollusca; Bivalvia; Mytilida; Mytilidae
Source: RNAcentral